UUCACGAACGGAGCAAGCACAUCCGGGUGAAGUAUCACUUCAUCCGAGGCUGCUUGGAGGAAGGAAGCAUCAAGGCGAGCUACAUCAACACCAAGGAUCAGCUUGCGGAUCUGCUCACCAAGCCCCUUGGGAGGAUCAAGUUUCUUGAGCUUUGCUCCAGGACUGGGAUGGUCCAAUCUUCCCACAAGACGACACACAAGACUUAGGGGGAGAAUGAUGGAUAAGUCUUUGUACUCUGGUCUUUGUGGGGCCCUGUACUUGUGGGGCUGCAGCAACUUUCCUGCUGCAUUGCUAUCCCUAGAGGACAGCAUCUUGGACUGCCUUUGGGAGGCAGGACAAUAGUCAGUUAGCAUCUAGGACAGUCCUUGUGGACAGUAGCAUGGUGGCCUUGCUGCCCCAUCUAGGACAGCAGCAGUUAGCAUCUUAGACUAGCUUUUGGACUAGAAUCUUAGACUAGCAUCCUGUUUGCCCAGCCAGCUAUAAAUAUGUAUCCCCAGCCCCUUGGGUUGGCAUGGCUUUGAGUUUGUGAAUAUGAGAAAACCAGAAAAUUGCCCCAAAUUCAUUGUCAUCCUCUCAGCUCAUGAGAGUUAGAAUUGAGCUUCUAACAAGGCUGAAGGCUGCUGGAGCUGCCGAACAGAGUGCUUGUUUGCACUGUAUGGUCUUUCGAUUGACUUUUGUAGAACUUAUUUAUUGUUGACACAGAUACGAUUCAUGUUCUCUGUUUUGUGCAUUAUUUUCUUCCUUUGGUUCUGGAUAUAAUUAUUUCUCUUUUGUUGCUGCCAUGUCAAGAUCUUCUUAAGAGAGCAUGGGGUUGGGAAAGGUUGCUGCCCAGAGUUCACGGUUCCAUUGAUUGGGAUCAAUACAAGACAUACCUUGAGGAGUUUUAUCAGCACAAUGCUGACAAAGCAGCUGGCAAAGAAACACUGCGUGCUGCAGCCAGCCAGGUAAGGUCUCCUUGCUUCUCAAACAAAACUUUGGCUUGCCCCACUUUUCCAGUUGCCGACUAAUUGCUUCCUCUGUUGGGAAAACACCCUUUAUAGUGUAUCAGCAUAGAGCAUGAACUUGUGUGUUGGUGCGUUCGCAUUUUCAAUAUGGAAGAUAUGCGGAUGUGCAGUCAGAUCCAGGAACGUGCAAAGGUUGUGUUAAACUCAGAGGGUGAAUACCCUGCUGCAGCUGCGGCCUUGCUGGUACGUCUUUUACAAACUUUACAAAACUUUGGCCUAUCUAUUCUGGUAGUAAUUAUUUAAUGUUAACUUAUUUUUGCACCCAUUGCAAAUGAUGGUUCCAAGUCUAUUAAGACUGAGGCAGAGUUGAUGGCCGAGUUGUUGAGUCGUGAUUAUGACAACAGUGUGGUCACCAUAGGCAAUAAGAUCCGUCGCCUUGCCUUAAAUCUAAUGCUAUACAAAGGCUCUGAAUAUGCAGCAGUCUCAGGUGGCCUAUUUUGUGCUGAUCCUUUUGCGCUAACAAGCUUUUUGUAACAAGGGUGUUACAAAAGAGGCUACUAUCAUUCUUGACUCAGCACGACAAAAAUCUCUUUGGGGCAAGCACGCAAUAUUAUCAUCAUCUGCGGAUGCGUAAAAGUAUUGCAGCUGAUUUGGCCAAACUUGAGCAAGAGCUUUCUUACAAGACUACUGGUUAUGAUGGCACUCUUGCUAGUGGCAAAACAUGUGAAAAGGGGAUGGAGAAGAGGAAUGAAAGUUUGAACAAUCAAACAGAAAUUGAAGAUGUCAGGGCCCAGCCGGCCCAUGCACCUGAACCGGUGCAACCAGCCCAUGCGCCUGAACCGGCGCAACCACCACCGGUGAUCACAUAUCAGCGUCGCCGUCGCACAAGUGGCUAGGAUUUGCUUCUCUAGAUAUUUUUAUUAUUUCCACAAGACUAGUUUGGGAUUUGUAAAGGGAUAUAAAUAUCCCUAAAACAGAAUGUGGAGAUAUUAAGCAAAGGUUUAUUCUUGCCCUGCCUCACGGGGCUACCUCCAGCGCCGCCUCUCUUCCUGCCCUCGCGAUCUUCCUCCCUCGAGCCGCCACCUCCCCGCGUCACGGCGUCGUCUUGCCAUCGGGGGUUCAAGCCCCCACCACCCGUCUCCUGCUCCUACCACCUACGCAGCCACCACAGGAUUGCUGAUCCUAUCAAUCUGGUAUCAGCAAUGACACGAAUAAGACUGCAGCUCCAGGCCCACAGCUGACACAUUUGAUGUCCAGUGUUGCCAAUUUACCAAAGCUCCUCGAGUCUAGUUGGCUAAAUGAGCUGAGGUAUGGUCGCCCCCAUAAGAUCGUGAGUUCGAAUUCCAGCUGGGACGAAUUUUCGCUUGUGGGCAAAACAAUCCCUCUCGAUGUGCUCGCCACAAGGCUCGGGCAUGGGCCAGGGUUCGGGGAGUUUUUUCGCGGCCGGUGAAACCGUGUUGUUUUCUCUUAAUGAAAAAUGGAACUGUCUGAAGGGAACUACUGAAAAUGGACUCGGCUGCUGUUUUCCACUGCUAAUUUAUUUAGUUCGUGAGUGGCCUAGCUUUUUCUUUUAUGUUGGAGUUGGACUAGUGGUGAACUAUGUGGUAAGAUUAAGAUACAUGUGAUGUUUGAUAUGUGUAUUUGCUGUGAAAUGUUGCUGUGAA
Panicum virgatum (switchgrass) is the source of this 2608-nucleotide long non-coding RNA. RefSeq lists it as uncharacterized. The record is from RefSeq and is a predicted model, not a curated record. The transcript is spliced from 3 exons. Lineage: Eukaryota; Viridiplantae; Streptophyta; Magnoliopsida; Poales; Poaceae.